RNAcentral lists this ribosomal RNA (367 nucleotides) under uncultured organism. RNAcentral's name for it is "bacterial SSU rRNA". It matches the Rfam family "Bacterial small subunit ribosomal RNA", at positions 526 to 896 of the family's 1533-position model. The record is from RNAcentral.
CGGAGGGUGCAAGCGUUAUCCGGAAUCAUUGGGUUUAAAGGGUCCGCAGGCGGUCUUAUAAGUCAGUGGUGAAAGCCUACAGCUUAACUGUAGAACUGCCAUUGAUACUGUAAGACUUGAAUUCGGUCGAAGUGGGCGGAAUGUGACAUGUAGCGGUGAAAUGCUAGAUAUGUCACAGAACACCGAUAGCGAAGGCAGCUCACUAGGCCUGGAUUGACGCUCAUGGACGAAAGCGUGGGGAGCAAACAGGAUUAGAUACCCUGGUAGUCCACGCCGUAAACUAUGAUUACUCGUUUUCGGCGAUAUACAGUCGGAGACUAAGCGAAAGUGAUAAGUAAUCCACCUGGGGAGUACGAUCGCAAGGUUG